GCAAGUUGAGCGCUGAAGGUUGGUACUUGUACCGACUGGAUGAGCAGCGAACGGGUGAGUAACGCGUGGGGAAUCUGCCUUUGAGCGGGGGACAACAUUUGGAAACGAAUGCUAAUACCGCAUAACACUUUAAACACAAGUUUUAAGUUUGAAAGAUGCAAUUGCAUCACUCAAAGAUGAUCCCGCGUUGUAUUAGCUAGUUGGUGAGGUAAAGGCUCACCAAGGCGAUGAUACAUAGCCGACCUGAGAGGGUGUCGGCCACAUUGGGACUGAGACACGGCCCAAACUCCUACGGGAGGCAGCAGUAGGGAAUCUUCGGCAAUGGACGAAAGUCUGACCGAGCAACGCCGCGUGAGUGAAGAAGGUUUUCGGAUCGUAAAAUCUGUUGGUAGAGAAGAACGUUGGUGAGAGUGGAAAGCUCAUCAAGUGACGGUAACUACCCAGAAAGGGACGGCUAACUACGUGCCAGCAGCCGCGGUAAUACGUAGGUCCCGAGCGUUGUCCGGAUUAUUGGGCGUAAAGCGAGCGCAGGUGGUUUAUUAAGUCUGGUGUAAAAGGCAGUGGCUCAACCAUUGUAUGCAUUGGAAACUGGUAGACUUGAGUGCAGGAGAGGAGAGUGGAAUUCCAUGUGUAGCGUGAAAUGCGUAGAUAUAUGGAGGAACACCGGUGGCGAAAGCGGCUCUCUGGCCUGUAACUGACACUGAGGCUCGAAAGCGUGGGGAGCAAACAGGAUUAGAUACCCUGGUAGUCCACGCCGUAAACAUGAGUGCUAGAUGUAGGGAGCUAUAAGUUCUCUGUAUCGCAGCUAACGCAAUAAGCACUCCGCCUGGGGAGUACGACCGCAAGGUUGAAACUCAAAGGAAUUGACGGGGGCCCGCACAAGCGGUGGGCAUGUGGUUUAAUUCGAAGCAACGCGAAGAACCUUACCAGGUCUUGACAUACUCGUGCUAUUCCUAGAGAUAGGAAGUUCCUUCGGGACACGGGAUACAGGUGGUGCAUGGUUGUCGUCAGCUCGUUCGUGAGAUGUUGGGUUAAGUCCCGCAACGAGCGCAACCCCUAUUGUUAGUUGCCAUCAUUAAGUUGGGCACUCUAACGAGACUGCCGGUGAUAAACCGGAGGAAGGUGGGGAUGACGUCAAAUCAUAUGCCCCUUAUGACCUGGGCUACACACGUGCUACAAUGGGUGGUACAACGAGUCGCGAGACAGUGAUGUUUAGCUAAUCUCUUAAAACCAUUCUCAGUUCGGAUUGUAGGCUGCAACUCGCCUACAUAAGUCGGAAUCGCUAGUAAUCGCGGAUCAGCACGCCGCGGUGAAUACGUUCCCGGGCCUUGUACACACCGCCCGUCACACCACGGGAGUUGGGAGUACCCGAAGUAGGUUGCCUAACCGCAAGGAGGCGCU
This 1401-nucleotide ribosomal RNA is filed under the name Lactococcus lactis subsp. lactis. Its description in RNAcentral is "bacterial SSU rRNA". It matches the Rfam family "Bacterial small subunit ribosomal RNA". Lineage: Bacteria; Bacillati; Bacillota; Bacilli; Lactobacillales; Streptococcaceae. The record is from RNAcentral.